UGCUCAUUCGUUUCAGGAGCUGCCUGUCUUUCCAGGGCGGCCCAAUCAGAGCGCUCAGCGAACGGCGCUGUCAAUCAGGGGGCGCCGGCGGCCAAUCACAGCAGGAGGACCCCCGCGGCGCCGGCCUCUCGCGGAGUUUCGGGGCGGGUCCCGGGUUCAUUCACAACAUUCCUCCCCCACCCCGGGGGCUGGACAGCGCGCCCGGGGCAGCUGGGGCUGCGCCCACACACGGCUUUGUUUACUGAGGGUCGCUUCCGGGCGCCGCGAGGGGACAAUCCACAUGGCUCGGCCGGGGAGCGAGACGGAGCUGCGGGAUCCCCGGGCAGCAGCGCGGCCCCUCCUCCGUCUGGGUUGUGUGAUGCGAGGAACUUUCUCAGCCUCUCUGGACGCCAGUCAAGAACUUCGUUUCACAGCUGCGCUUUCUGGCCAGUCCCCAACCCACCAUUCAGUAAAGUCCCCCCGACCUGCGCUGUCACCACCGGCCAUAAGUGGCCUUUUCAUCCUUGAAAUGGGGCUGGCCCGAACGGCGCUGACCUACAAACGGAACACACAGAUCGGAUUUCUGAGACUUGGUAGGAAAAAAAAGUAGAUACGGAUAUUGUCAUCAUCCCCAUCUGACGGAUGAGGAAACAGAGGCCCAGAAAGGUGGCUUGCCCAAGGCCAGCAUUCAAGCCCAGGUGGGUGGGCUGGUCCUGUCACAUUGGCUGGAGAUCAAAGGCAGAAUUUUGGAAACACCAAGAUUCUAUUCCAACUCUAUUCUGAUUUUACAGAUGAGGGGAAUGGGGCCCAGAGAGGGUCAGAGAGUUGCCCAAGGCCACACAGCGAUCUUGGGUCAAAAAGCCCCUGGGAAGAUGGGGGUGCCCCCAGGAUGAGGUCUCUAGGCCUAUCUCAGACGUGCCUCUUGCCAGCGGCACUUUCAGGAGAGGCGAGGUUGGGGGUUCAGCCGCUCACGUUCUCCCUUCUGUGGCAGCCGAGCUGGGGCUCCAGGGAAACGGAAGCUGCGUUCACCCUGCCCGCCGGCCGCCGCCGUGAGCUCACUGUCUAGGCAUCUGCAGCUCCUGACCCGAAGCCCACGUGUCCUCAAGACCCACGGGAAACGGGCAACCCUGGAGCCCAGCCGCCAGCGAUCUAUGGGCGCCGCCCCGUCCCCUCCCUUCCCCGGAGCCCCUCCCUCUGCCAGCCGCGCGGGCCCCGGCCAUGACUGCAGGAACCGGCCGGGCGGUUUCGCUUCCUGGUCCCCGCGGCCCCUGGCGCCCAGCUGGAGGCUUGCUUCCUCCGUGUCUUCCCUCCCCUUUCCAAGCACAAAGUCAUGGGGAGCAUCAGCACCCGGCCUGGAAAAACGGGCACUGGAGGCGGCGCGGGACGGCGGAGGAAGGGCCGGAAGCAGCUGGGCAGGGACCUCGGUCCGGCAGGCAGGGAGUUGGUGGCCGCUGGGCUCGGCUGGCUCCCCUGGGACUCGGCGCGGCAGCUCCAAUCACACCUGUGAGGCCCUCCGCUUUCAGGCUCCCGAAUUCCCCACGGGGGUGGGUGGGUUAGGGUUCAUUUAACAUGGGGAAACUGAGGCUCAGAGAGGUGAAGGGACUUGCUGAAGGUCACACAGCCAGGAAGUGGCAGAAACUGGCCUAGGCCGCGAGGUGAGGGGGUUUCCAAGAGUCCGGGCUCUCCGAGCCAGCAGCAGGGGGGCUGGUGGGCAGGUGCAAGGCAGGCACUCUGGAGUCACCCAGGGCGGGAACGGGAAGUUGAUGCUGUCUGGGGAGGUGGAGGGGGAACGAGUGGGUGACAUUCCAGACCCCAUGCCUGUCCCGCCUGAAUGCCUUUCCUCGCCCCUGGGGUCCUCCUCAGAGGGGCUGGGGUCAGAGGGACAAAGGGAGCCAGUGGACAGUGCCCUUGGCCAUCCGUGGGCCUGGCCUGGAUUCACGGCGCCUCCUGGUGGCCGCAGGAGGCCCCGGAUGGCGCCCCAAGCCCACGGGUCCCAGCCCAGGCCCUUUGAGGUUCCGGUGGACAGGGACACCGAGGAUGACAGGGGAAAGGUGGAAACCAUCCCAAGAGGAAAUCGUGACUCUGACAGACAGUGAAGACGAGCCUGGGCCAACACUGCUAUUGAACUCGUGUGAACCAGGCAGAUGCUACACUUGGCUCAGAAGCGUCUGGAGAACAGGUCCCUCACAGAUCAGACUCUGGGCAUAAACACCCGUGCGGCCGGACGGACACUGGCUUUUGCACGUGGGAGGCGGGCUGUCCUCGGACCCUCUGCCGGACGGGCUGGAAUCGGUUGUACGUGGCCGUCAGAUUUUCCCGGUCCCGGAGCAGACAAGGCACACACCAGGCCACAACCGCACAGCCCAGAAGGGCGCGCUGUGUGGAGAGGAUGCACAGAGCGGUCGCCGCGGAGUCACCGAGACGUGGCCCUCCUUGCAGCAAGGUGGGGGGAUCCCUUCCCUCCAGGAGCGCCUGUCAACCGGGCAGCCCGGGCGCCGUCCCGCAGCUGGGGCAGCAGUGAAUUGGCAAAGGCGGGGCCCGGAGCUGCAGGGCCCGGAGCUGCAGACGGAUGGGAGGGGCACAGUGGCUGGUCCUGGGGGCCAGGGACAGAGAAGGGCUCUCUGGGAGGACGUGGAGAGGAGGAGGGAACAGCAGGUGCAGAAGGCCAGGAGGCAGGACAGGGCGGAGGCGGGGGCUGGGGCUUCCCGUUAUGCCCACCAGAGCGUCAGCUCUCAGCCCUUCCAGCCCAGUGUGCGCCAGGCUGUACACACAGUAGGGGUGCAAUAAACACCCAAGGGGCAGAAUGGACCCUCUCGAAGGGUGGAAGUCAGCCCUGCCCGCCGAGGUGGCCCAUGCCGCCCCCCCCCCCACCACCCUGCAAGGGACCCCAAACUGCCAGGGCCCUGCUUCAGCUGCCACCAUUCCCGACUGUUCGAGAUGUCAGUUACGAUUUUGUGUGUGAAACUGCUGCCCCUGCCUUUUCCAUUUGAUGGUUAAAACUCACCUAUAAAAGUCAUCGUUUAAAAGUGCGCGACCAAGCGACAUUUAGUACAUUCACAGUAUCUCACAGCCAUGUCUAUCUAGUUCCGGAACAUCUGUAGCAGCUCUGCAAAAACCCGUCGCCGUGAGCAGUCACUCCCCACCCCUCCCCUGGCCCCCGCGGAUCUGCACGUUUCUGGACUUGCCUGUCACGGACAUUUCACAUCAGUGGAACCACUGUCUGUGGCCUUCUGGGACCGGCUGCUCUCACCGAGCAAUUGUGCUUCAUGCCCAGCGUAGCAGGAAUCAGCGCUUCCUUCCUUUUUGACAGCUGAAUAAUAUUCCACCGCGUGACCACAUCCUGUUUGUCUGCUGACGGGCUGAGAGACACACGGGCUGUGUACGCUUUUGGGCCACUGCAAACAGUGCUGCUGUGACCACAUAUGUACGAGUUGUCAUUUGAAUCUGUUUUCAAUUCUUCUGUGUGUGUGCCUAUGAGUGGGACCGCUGGCUCACGUGGCAAACCUAUGUUGAACUUACUGAGAGGGCACCAAACUGUCUUCCACAGUGGCUGUCCCCUGCUUUCUAAAGAAACGUUGCUGGUUCAAGAAGUUUUAAACACCACUGUGUGUGGGACCAAAAAAAAACACAUCUGAGGUGGGUGAGGCUGGCCAGGCAAGGAUGGGCCAGCAGGGGACCAGUCACCCACCUCGGGGGGAGCAGCCAACUGCACCCACAGGCGCCACCACCUCUCCCAGAUAGCAAGUCAGUGUCGCCCAGCCCGCAGCCUGCCAGCCCAACCACCAGCAGAGGGAGGGCACCAGACCAGCGGCCCCUCCUGACUCCACAGGGAAAGUGGCUCCCUUGGACACCUGGCUCGUCCCUGGCAGAGGGUGACCCCCAGGCUAGAAGCACAGAAGUCCCUGGGGAGAGUGCUGGGGUAGUGCUGGCUGGCUCACAAGAGUGCACGAUGCAGGAGGAGGGAGAGUCCGGUUUAUUGUUCAGGCUGAAACUGUGGAGACAGGACCUGGAGAGGGGAGGGGGCCGCGGGAGCUGGUGCUGGUCCCCUCUGGCCUCUGCUGAGUUCCAGGCACUCUAUGGACCUGCUGCUUGGUCACCGGCGCAAGGGCCGGCCCAGUGAAGCUCGAAGUGCCACCUGAGGCUCUGGGGCGCAUGGCUCCUGCUCCCCACAGUGCGCAUGGUCUUCCCUGGGCUGCUGUCCUCAGGAAGGCGUCUUGGAGGAGGAGGCUGCCUCCUUC
Equus caballus (horse) is the source of this 4217-nucleotide non-coding RNA. NCBI's taxonomy places the organism in Eukaryota, Metazoa, Chordata, Mammalia, Perissodactyla, Equidae. The record is from RefSeq and is a predicted model, not a curated record.